This is a long non-coding RNA of Jaculus jaculus (lesser Egyptian jerboa), 747 nucleotides long. RefSeq lists it as uncharacterized. The transcript is spliced from 4 exons. The record is from RefSeq and is a predicted model, not a curated record. NCBI's taxonomy places the organism in Eukaryota, Metazoa, Chordata, Mammalia, Rodentia, Dipodidae.
UCUGGCUAAGUUGUUCCUUUCUUAACUGGCAAUAAUGUUCUAUCUUUUUUCCCCUUUUUGAAUUAUCCUUUUAUAGCUGUGAUUUCAUCAUCCAUAAUUGUAUCUUCCUACUACCAGAGAAUUUUAGAAAUCUCUUCAAAGAGCUACUCCAAACAUAUGAAGACAUUCCAGAUUGGACACACUCACUGACCAGCUGAUCUUCAAGUUGUCUGUGGAAGCCUACUUCGUUCCUCAUCCAAAAGGAAGGUAUGAUAGCUGGAGCUGUUAGCCAAGCCAUGGAAAGUGAUCACAUUGCUGGAUUCCAACAUUUCUGCAAGGUAACAAAGCAACAGACUGGGUGUUAAGGCCUCUUGCAAGGCAGAGAAGUCAUUGAUGAAGGGCACAGCAGAGAAGGAGAGUCAUGGAUAAUGGGCAUAACAGAGAAGAUCUGUUCACUUCACUGCAGCCAGGAAGCCAAGAGAGUUGCAAAGAAACCAGGGACAAGGCACCCAUUUCAAAGGCUUCCUCUCAGUGUCCUGUUUUCUCUUUCCAGUUCCUGCCUUCCAGCUCCCACUAUCUCACAAUAAUGUUAUCAUAAUAUGGAAGCAUUGAUGAAGGAAUCUACUGAUUAGGUCACAGCCCUCAUAAAUCAAUCAUCUCUCAAAGAUUGACUUUUCCAGGCUACAAGUAGGUUUGGGGGACAUGGUAUGCAAACAAAGUAGGUACUAACUUGUUAACACCAAAAAUUUUGUAUGUUAAAGGGAUAAA